UACAUGGGGUGCAAACGUUUGCUCGGAAUUAUUGGGCGUAAAGCGCACGUAGGCGGUUCGUUAAGUCGGAUGUGAAAGCCCUCGGCUCAACUGAGGAAGUGCACCCGAAACUGGCGAGCUUGAGUACGAAAAGAGGAUCGCGGAAUUCCCGGUGUAGAGGUGAAAUUCGUAGAUAUCGGGAGGAACACCAGUGGCGAAGGCGGCGACCUGGGCCAAUAUUGACGCUGAGGUGCGAAAGCGUGGGGAGCAAACAGG
Molecule: ribosomal RNA, 255 nt
Filed under: uncultured bacterium
Lineage: Bacteria
Description: partial 16S ribosomal RNA
Rfam family: Bacterial small subunit ribosomal RNA
Source: RNAcentral